GCCCCUGUAGCUCAGUUGGAAAGAGCGACAGUUUCCUAAACUGUAGGUCGUGAGUUCGAAUCUCACCAGGGGCA
RNAcentral lists this transfer RNA (74 nucleotides) under Caldifarciminota bacterium. Its description in RNAcentral is "candidate division WOR-3 bacterium (hot springs metagenome) tRNA-Arg". It matches the Rfam family "tRNA". Rfam says of the family: Transfer RNA (tRNA) molecules are approximately 80 nucleotides in length. Lineage: Bacteria; Pseudomonadati; Caldifarciminota. The record is from RNAcentral.